RNAcentral lists this ribosomal RNA (1703 nucleotides) under Elops hawaiensis (Hawaiian ladyfish). RNAcentral's name for it is "16S rRNA". It matches the Rfam family "Bacterial large subunit ribosomal RNA". Lineage: Eukaryota; Metazoa; Chordata; Actinopteri; Elopiformes; Elopidae. The record is from RNAcentral.
GCUAAAUAGCUAGCCUAACCACCAACACCAAACCACACAACCAUAAAUACCCAACCACACACUAACAGAAACCACUAAACCAUUCUCCCCCCUUAGUAUGGGCGACAGAAAAGGAAAAACCAGAGCAAUAGAAAAAGUACCGCAAGGGAAAGCUGAAAGAGAAGUGAAACAACCCGUAAAAGCAAAGAAAAGCAGAGAUUAAGUCUCGUACCUUUUGCAUCAUGACUUAGCUAGCACCAACCAGGCAAAGAGAACUUUAGUCUGGCCCCCCGAAACUAGACGAGCUACUCCGGGACAGCCCAUAUGGGGCCAACCCGUCUCUGUGGCAAAAGAGUGGGAAGAUCCCCGAGUAGAGGUGAAAAAUCUAACGAGUCUAGUCAUAGCUGGUUGCUUAGGAAAUGAAUAUUAGUUCAGCCCCACGACCUGCUUAAAUCAAAAAAGUUAAUUCUACCAAAGAAUUAGAGACAGUCCUGGGAGUUAGUCAGAGGAGGUACAGCUCCCCUGAAAAAGAACACAACCUUCACAGGAGGAUAAGGAUCAUAAUCAAAAAGGCACCCUGCUCCAGUGGGCCUAAAAGCAGCCACCUGAACAGAAAGCGUCAAAGCUCAGGCAGGACCACAUUAACCUAUUAUUCUGAUACCCGGUCCAACUCCCCUAAGAAUACUAAGCCAUUCUAUGCACCCAUAGAAGAGACAAUGCUAAGAUCAGUAAUAAGAAGGCACAACCUUCUCCUAGCACAUGUGUAAGUCAGAUCGGACCAACCACUGACAAACAACGGACCCAAUACAAGAGGGAAAUGAAACAAAAACCAAACCCAAGAAGAAGCUACAACACAAUACCGUUAGCCCUACACAGGAGUGCCCCAAGGAAAGACUAAAAGAGACGGAAGGAACUCGGCAAACUCGAGCCUCGCCUGUUUACCAAAAACAUCGCCUCUUGCAAAACACAAAAUAUAAGAGGUCCCGCCUGCCCCGUGACCCAAAAAGUUUAACGGCCGCGGUAUUUUGACCGUGCGAAGGUAGCGUAAUCACUUGUCUUUUAAAUGAAGACCGGUAUGAAUGGCAACACGAGGGCUCAGCUGUCUCCCGCCUCCAGUCAAUGAAAUUGAUCUGCCCGUGCAGAAGCGGACAUAUAACCAUAAGACGAGAAGACCCUGUGGAGCUUAAGACGUAUGGCCACCCAUGCCGAGCAGCCCCACAACAAAAAAGCGAACAAGCCUAAUGGUACCUGGCCACGAUGUCUUCGGUUGGGGCGACCGCGGAGGAAAACCUAGCCUCCAUGUGGACCGGGGGGACUAUUACUACCCCUAAAGCCAAGAGACACACCUCUAAGCAACAGAACAUCUGACCAAAAAUGAUCCGGGCCAAAGCCCGAUCAACGAACCAAGUUACCCCAGGGAUAACAGCGCAAUCCUUUCCAAGAGUCCCUUAUCGACGAAAGGGUUUACGACCUCGAUGUUGGAUCAGGACAUCCUAAUGGUGCAGCCGCUAUUAAGGGUUCGUUUGUUCAACGAUUAAAGUCCUACGUGAUCUGAGUUCAGACCGGAGCAAUCCAGGUCGGUUUCUAUCUAUGCAGUAACCCUUCCUAGUACGAAAGGACCGGGAGGGAGGGGCCCAUGCCCACAAACAAGCCCCACCCCCAUCCAAUGAAAACAACUAAAAAGGAAAAGGGGGUACAACGAACACAGCCAAAGACAAUGGCGC